RNAcentral lists this ribosomal RNA (1944 nucleotides) under human gut metagenome. Its description in RNAcentral is "bacterial LSU rRNA". It matches the Rfam family "Bacterial large subunit ribosomal RNA", at positions 1 to 1977 of the family's 2925-position model. The record is from RNAcentral.
GAAAGUAAACAAGGGCGCAUGGAGGAUGCCUAGGCUCUCGGAGGCGAAGAAGGACGUGAUAAGCUGCGAAAAGUUACGGUAAGGCGCAAAUAGCCCUAGACCCGUAAAUAUCCGAAUGGGGCAACCCGGCCAGCAAUGGCCAUACCGCCAAGCGGUAAGCCAACGCGGGGAACUGAAACAUCUAAGUACCCGCAGGAAAAGAAAAUAACAAUGAUUCCGCCAGUAGUGGCGAGCGAACGCGGAACAGCCCAAACCACCCGUGUUACGGCACGAGUGGGGUAGAAGGAUCCACGCUACGGCAAGAAAUAAGUUAGCAGAAUACGAUGGAAAUCGUAGCCAAAGACGGUGACAGCCCGGUACGCGAAAACGGACAGAAGCCCAGUGGACACCUGAGUAACCCAGGACACGAGAAAUCCGGGGCGAAUCAGCGGGGCCCAUCCCGUAAGGCUAAAUACUCCCGAGAGACCGAUAGCGAACCAGUACUGUGAAGGAAAGGUGAAAAGAACCUCGAACAGAGGAGUGAAACAGACCCUGAAACCAUGCGCCUACAAGCGGUCGGAGCAUGUUAAAAUGUGACGGCGUGCCUUUUGCAUAAUGAACCUACGAGUUACUCUCGCUGGCAAGGUUAAGCGAUUCAGUCGCGCAGCCGAAGCGAAAGCAAGUCCGAACAAGGCGUACAGUCAGCGGGAGUAGACGCGAAACCAAGUGAUCUACCCUUGGUCAGGUUGAAGGUUGGGUAACACCAACUGGAGGACCGCACCGAUAAGCGUUGAAAAGCUUACGGAUGAACUGAGGGUAGGAGUGAAAGGCCAAUCAAACUUGGAGAUAGCUCGUACUCCCCGAAAUGCAUUUAGGUGCAGCCUCGAAGUAAAGUGAUAGAGGUAGAGCGACUGAUAAGAUGCGAGGGCUUCACCGCCUAUCAAGUCUUGACAAACUCCGAAUACUAUCACUUGAUCUUCGGGAGUGAGGGCAUGGGUGCUAAGGUCCAUGUCCGAAAGAGGAACAACUCAGACCACCAGCUAAGGUCCCGAAAUAAGGGCUAAGUUGAAUAAACGAAGUAAAACUGCAAAGACAGCUAGGAUGUUGGCUUGGAAGCAGCCAUUCAUUUAAAGAGUGCGUAACAGCUCACUAGUCGAGGAGUUUUGCAUGGAUAAUAAUCGGGCAUAAGCCCUUUACCGAAGCUGUGGAUGUCGUAAGACAUGGUAGGGGAGCAUUCCGGCGGCGACGAAGGCCGUCCUCGAGGACGACUGGAGCUUUCGGAAAAGCAAAUGUAGGUAUAAGUAACGAUAAAGGGGGCGUGAAACCCCCUCGCCAUAAGACUAAGGAUUCCUGAUCAACGCUAAUCGGAUCAGGGUAAGUCGGGCCCUAAGGCGCAGCCGAACGGCGUAGCCGAUGGAAGAAACGGUAAAGAUUCCGUUACUGGAUAUAGGAGCGAUGUGGAGACGGAGAAGUGACACACCCGCCUGCCGACGGAAGCGCAGGUUAAAGGAAGUAGGUAAACGCCGGGUAGGCAAAUCCGCCUGGCGUGCCGAAGCUGACAGUAUCGAGAGCCCCCGGGCAAUCGAAUAGCGGUGGUAAUCAGGCUCCCAAGAAAAUCCGCUAAGCAUAUUCUAUAUCCACCCGUACCCCAAACGGACACACGUAGUCGGGUAGAAUAUACCAAGGCGCUCGAAAGACUCACGGUUAAGGAACUAGGCAAAUUGACCCUGUAACCUCGGGAAAAAGGGUCCCCAGUAAGAUGGGGCGCAGAGAAUAGGUCCAGGCAACUGUUUAACAAAAACACAGGGCUGUGCAAAAUUUCAAGAUGAAGUAUACAGCCUGACACCUGCCCGGUGCCGGAAGGUUAAGAGGAGAGCUAAUCGCAAGAGAAGGCUUGAAUUGAAGCCCCGGUAAACGGCGGCCGUAACUAUAACGGUCCUAAGGUAGCGAAAUUCCUUGUCGGGU